GACGAACGCUGGCGGCGUGCUUAACACAUGCAAGUCGAACGGAAAGGCCCUGCUUGCAGGGUACUCGAGUGGCGAACGGGUGAGUAACACGUGGGUGAUCUGCCCUGCACUUCGGGAUAAGCCUGGGAAACUGGGUCUAAUACCGGAUAGGAGCCAUCUUUAGUGUGAUGGUUGGAAAGUUUUUUCGGUGUAGGAUGAGCUCGCGGCCUAUCAGCUUGUUGGUGGGGUAAUGGCCUACCAAGGCGGCGACGGGUAGCCGGCCUGAGAGGGUGGACGGCCACAUUGGGACUGAGAUACGGCCCAGACUCCUACGGGAGGCAGCAGUGGGGAAUAUUGCACAAUGGGCGCAAGCCUGAUGCAGCGACGCCGCGUGGGGGAUGACGGCCUUCGGGUUGUAAACUCCUUUCGCUAGGGACGAAGCUUUUGUGACGGUACCUAGAUAAGAAGCACCGGCUAACUACGUG
Molecule: ribosomal RNA, 464 nt
Filed under: uncultured bacterium
Lineage: Bacteria
Description: partial 16S ribosomal RNA
Rfam family: Bacterial small subunit ribosomal RNA
Source: RNAcentral